GUUAUUCUAUGACGAUUUGCCAAAUCUUUUCCAGUAUAUUUUCAUCAAGUUCAUUGUCUGCUUACUGUAUUCGCAAUCUUAUCCAUCGUCUCGAUUGGCCAUCUUCCGCAACCGCUGCACUUCUAUUUUUCUUCCCGGAGGUCUCUCACCAAUUUGUUCGAUUUUGAUCAGACCUCCGUCGAUCGGCAGGAUCAAUAUAUAUCUCUCCCUCAUUCUCUCUCUUUCCAUCUCUCUCUCUCAUUUCCUCCUCCUUUCUCUAAUUUGUCUUCUGAUCACAAAAUCUCCGUCGGUUGGUUCUUUGGUAGGCAAUAUAUCCUCGUAUAAAUAGCAAUUUAUCACCCUCUACCGGCCGGCCUUCCUCUCUCUCUCUCUCUCUAUAUAUAUAUAUUUUUAAUCUGGUUAACAGGAAAGAAACUCUCGGAAGUAAAGAGAGCGAUAUUGGUUCGGUUCAAUCCGAAGACGGAUUUUACGUUACUGUGGCUCGUAGAAACGAUCUCAGAUUGAGCCGCGCCAAUAUCACUACUUCCUGCCAUCCAGCGUCUUCUUCUCUCCCAGGUUAAAUUGUCCCCUCCCCUUGAAAAAGUAUCAGGCGAAAUGGGAGCAUUGCGCUACAAGAAGGAGUUCAAUCCAGCUAAUAGGACGAGACAUGGCAACGGCAUAAUUUACUUCACGUGAUAGAUGAAGAGAAAUCUUGUCAGCAAAGGCAUAAGAAAGAAGAAGAAAACUUGAACCAUUAGAACGGUGGCAGUUCUUGCAGAUCGCUCUACUAGCGUUCUGCGAGAAUGACACACUGUGGUUACCAAACAAUCGAGCAUGAAAAUAGGCACGGUACACAUACGUGCAAAGCUUGCAGAAUUUGAGGCUUUGAUCCAAAUAAAAACUGUUGGUGGAAAGAGCUUUAAUAGACACCGGCCAUGGAGAUGCAUCCCUUGUAUGCUUUUCAUCUUGAAGGUCUUCAACUCCAACGACC
This is a long non-coding RNA of Nymphaea colorata (pocket water lily), 970 nucleotides long. RefSeq lists it as uncharacterized. NCBI's taxonomy places the organism in Eukaryota, Viridiplantae, Streptophyta, Magnoliopsida, Nymphaeales, Nymphaeaceae. The transcript is spliced from 3 exons. The record is from RefSeq and is a predicted model, not a curated record.